UUGACCUCGGAUCAGGUAGGACUACCCGCUGAACUUAAGCAUAUCAAUAAGCGGAGGAAAAGAAACCAACAGGGAUUGCCCCAGUAACGGCGAGUGAAGCGGCAACAGCUCAGAUUUGGAAUCUGGCCCCCAGGGCCCGAGUUGUAAUCUGGAGAGGAUGCUUCUGGCGCGGCGCCUUCCGAGUUCCCUGGAACGGGACGCCGGAGAGGGUGAGAGCCCCGUACGGUUGGACGCCUAGCCUUUGUGAAGCUCCUUCGACGAGUCGAGUAGUUUGGGAAUGCUGCUCAAAAUGGGAGGUAAAUUUCUUCUAAAGCUAAAUACCGGCCAGAGACCGAUAGCGCACAAGUAGAGUGAUCGAAAGAUGAAAAGCACUUUGAAAAGAGGGUCAAACAGUACGUGAAAUUGUUGAAAGGGAAGCGCCCGUGGCCAGACUUGUGCCCCGCGGACCACCCGGCGCCCUCAGCGCCGGUGCACUCCUCGGGGCGCAGGCCAGCAUCGGUUUUCCUAGGGGGAUAAAGGCGGCGGGAACGUGGCUCCCUCGGGAGUGUUAUAGCCCGCCGCGCCAUGCCCCUGGGGGGACCGAGGACCGCGCUUCGGCAAGGAUGCUGG
This 609-nucleotide ribosomal RNA is filed under the name Leptographium longiclavatum. Its description in RNAcentral is "eukaryotic LSU rRNA". It matches the Rfam family "Eukaryotic large subunit ribosomal RNA", at positions 1 to 629 of the family's 3401-position model. Lineage: Eukaryota; Fungi; Ascomycota; Sordariomycetes; Ophiostomatales; Ophiostomataceae. The record is from RNAcentral.